Molecule: ribosomal RNA, 1356 nt
Filed under: Staphylococcus aureus
Lineage: Bacteria; Bacillati; Bacillota; Bacilli; Caryophanales; Staphylococcaceae
Description: partial 23S ribosomal RNA
Rfam family: Bacterial large subunit ribosomal RNA
Source: RNAcentral
GGGAGAAGACAUUGUGUCUUCGAGUCGUUGAUUUCACACUGCCGAGAAAAGCCUCUAGAUAGAAAAUAGGUGCCCGUACCGCAAACCGACACAGGUAGUCAAGAUGAGAAUUCUAAGGUGAGCGAGCGAACUCUCGUUAAGGAACUCGGCAAAAUGACCCCGUAACUUCGGGAGAAGGGGUGCUCUUUAGGGUUAACGCCCAGAAGAGCCGCAGUGAAUAGGCCCAAGCGACUGUUUAUCAAAAACACAGGUCUCUGCUAAACCGUAAGGUGAUGUAUAGGGGCUGACGCCUGCCCGGUGCUGGAAGGUUAAGAGGAGUGGUUAGCUUCUGCGAAGCUACGAAUCGAAGCCCCAGUAAACGGCGGCCGUAACUAUAACGGUCCUAAGGUAGCGAAAUUCCUUGUCGGGUAAGUUCCGACCCGCACGAAAGGCGUAACGAUUUGGGCACUGUCUCAACGAGAGACUCGGUGAAAUCAUAGUACCUGUGAAGAUGCAGGUUACCCGCGACAGGACGGAAAGACCCCGUGGAGCUUUACUGUAGCCUGAUAUUGAAAUUCGGCACAGCUUGUACAGGAUAGGUAGGAGCCUUUGAAACGUGAGCGCUAGCUUACGUGGAGGCGCUGGUGGGAUACUACCCUAGCUGUGUUGGCUUUCUAACCCGCACCACUUAUCGUGGUGGGAGACAGUGUCAGGCGGGCAGUUUGACUGGGGCGGUCGCCUCCUAAAAGGUAACGGAGGCGCUCAAAGGUUCCCUCAGAAUGGUUGGAAAUCAUUCAUAGAGUGUAAAGGCAUAAGGGAGCUUGACUGCGAGACCUACAAGUCGAGCAGGGUCGAAAGACGGACUUAGUGAUCCGGUGGUUCCGCAUGGAAGGGCCAUCGCUCAACGGAUAAAAGCUACCCCGGGGAUAACAGGCUUAUCUCCCCCAAGAGUUCACAUCGACGGGGAGGUUUGGCACCUCGAUGUCGGCUCAUCGCAUCCUGGGGCUGUAGUCGGUCCCAAGGGUUGGGCUGUUCGCCCAUUAAAGCGGUACGCGAGCUGGGUUCAGAACGUCGUGAGACAGUUCGGUCCCUAUCCGUCGUGGGCGUAGGAAAUUUGAGAGGAGCUGUCCUUAGUACGAGAGGACCGGGAUGGACAUACCUCUGGUGUACCAGUUGUCGUGCCAACGGCAUAGCUGGGUAGCUAUGUGUGGACGGGAUAAGUGCUGAAAGCAUCUAAGCAUGAAGCCCCCCUCAAGAUGAGAUUUCCCAACUUCGGUUAUAAGAUCCCUCAAAGAUGAUGAGGUUAAUAGGUUCGAGGUGGAAGCAUGGUGACAUGUGGAGCUGACGAAUACUAAUCGAUCGAAGACUUAAUCAAAA